UUUGUAUUACGUGCGGAAAUUGUUACCAUUUUCGAGCCGAAAAUGGUAACAAUUUCCGCACGUAAUACAAA
RNAcentral lists this microRNA precursor (71 nucleotides) under Paramuricea clavata. Lineage: Eukaryota; Metazoa; Cnidaria; Anthozoa; Malacalcyonacea; Plexauridae. The record is from RNAcentral.